UUUCCGUAGGUGAACCUGCGGAAGGAUCAUUACUGAGUGAGGGCCCUCUGGGUCCAACCUCCUACCCGUGUUUAUUGUACCUUGUUGCUUCGGUGAGCCCGCCUCACGGCCGCCGGGGGGCAUCUGCCCCCGGGCCCGCGCUCGCCGAAGACACCCUCGAACUCUGUCUGAAGUUUGCAGUCUGAGCGAAAACUAAAUAAGUUAAAACUUUCAACAACGGAUCUCUUGGUUCCG
This 234-nucleotide unclassified non-coding RNA is filed under the name plant metagenome. Its description in RNAcentral is "partial contains small subunit ribosomal RNA, internal transcribed spacer 1, and 5.8S ribosomal RNA". The record is from RNAcentral.